ACGCCCUCAGCCCCAGCCUGAGGGCCCGGGGGGCUCUGGCAGCCCGGCCCCGGCUCUGAACAACCCCGGGCUGAACAAGCCCGGCUAACGCAGGUGCUCGGCUCCGCCCUGCGACACGAACACACGAGCAGGCAGGGCUGACAUGGCCGCUGCCCUGUCACAGCACAGCCCAGCACCGAGACCUCCAGGCUCUGCUGUUUCAAGCUUACCUGCAGAUUCUGCUGAAUGCGAGCAGGAGUGACACUCUUGGGAAUGACAACCACUUUACGCUGCACUUGCCAUCUGCAAGAGGAGAUUUUGCCUUCAGUACAUUCUACAAGGAAGUCUUUGAAGAUAGCAGAUAUUCCAAAGAAGUGACUCCCAAUGACUUCCAAGGAAAUCCAGAGAAGAUAAGUGGAUCCUGUGUGUGGUUCAGCUGCCAGCAGCACUGCUGAUUAUGGCAAAAUCCAACUGAAUUAGGUUUAAAUUAUGCACUAACAGGAUCUGUCCUCGUUCCUUGCUAAGGCCACACAUUUCUCAGAACAAUUAGUUCACAGAAUAAACAACACAUUCACAUUUUGUUUGUUUAGUUUCAGACAUUUGCUUUAGGCAAAGCAUAUUUAACUGUUUUGAGUGGACAGAAAUUCAUCCAUUAAGUUUGUGCAUGUUAACAAACGUAAUUCAGCUGUCAUUUGAUGUUUUAAGUGGCAAAGCUGCACAUUCACCCUUUUCCUCAUUUAAGAGGUUGACUGAGCUCUCACACCAACUCAGCUUCCACAUUAGCACAACUUCUAUUCCCAACAGAUCCACUGUCCUGACAGUUGUUUGGACAGGAAAACCCACAGUAAAAUGGCUCUGAAUAGAUUUAAUUUUCUUAGCUUGUUUCCCACCUUUUCCUCUAGCUGGCAUGAGAGAAUUGCAUGUCCUGAGAAAAGUUUUAACUUUCCCUCUCAGUCAUGAGAACAAUGUCAUCCAAGAUACUCCCAACAACAUCAUAAAGCUCACCCAGGAGUAGCAGUGAGACAUCCAUUUACUGCACAGUGAUGUGCAUAACCCAUAGAAGCUGUGGAUGCCCCAUCCCUGGAAAUGUUCGAGGCCAGGGUGGAUUGACCUCUGAGCAGCCUGGUCUAGUGGAAGGGUCUCCCUGUCCACAGCAAGGAAUUGGAACUAAAUGGCCUUUAAAGUCUCUUCCAACCCAAACCAUACUGUGAUUCCACAAUUCUUUGAAUGCCAUUUAGGAAUUCCACCAAGCAGUGGACAUUACCUUUCACAGGAAGUACAUACAAUUUCUUCCCCAAAAAAAUUGUAUUUUUUAACUAAAUGAAAGAGAUACUAAAAGACAGACAAAGGGGAGAAGCAUUACAAUAGCAGGCACACCAUGGAGCACACAAACAUUCCCACAGACUGUUUGUAGUAACAACAAAAUUGUUUCCAAGUGUGAUGUUUGCCAAUUCCCUGCAUUCAGAAGCAGAGUGAAUGUCUACUGAUACAUGAGUCUUCUUAUUCUGAAAGCAGGCUGACCCAAGCAAGUUCUUUGUUUUCCUGCUAACCAUUGGCUGGCUGCUGGAACAGGACUUAUUACAAGAACAACUUGAGCUUCUGCCUUCCAAAAUAAUGCUUUCUGCCGAGUCAUCAGCCUAAGCCAGAGGGGUGUCUGGUCAGACUGGCAGCCUGAGGACUUGCCAGUGGAAGAAUGCAGCACCAUGUUAUAGAAACACCAUUCACUGAUCUUCUGGGUUUAUGUCCCAGAGCUCCACUGCCCAAGGCCAGGGCUAACAAGUCUGAAGGGAUCUUGCUUUUUGGAAAGAACUGCUGUCUUUACGCCUUAGGCCUUAGUCAGGAAAAUACACACAUACAUGCAUUCAACUUCAAUGGACUCAAGACUAAAACAGCUCAAGCAAAGAAAAGAUCCAGGCUUCAGAUCUGGGACCUUCCAAAAAAGUGCACAAACACACACACUAGUUGAGAGCACAAUAUCCUAUUGUUC
Molecule: long non-coding RNA, 1966 nt
Organism: Passer montanus (Eurasian tree sparrow)
Lineage: Eukaryota; Metazoa; Chordata; Aves; Passeriformes; Passeridae
Exons: 3
Source: RefSeq, a predicted model, not a curated record